Molecule: ribosomal RNA, 373 nt
Filed under: uncultured organism
Description: partial 16S ribosomal RNA
Rfam family: Bacterial small subunit ribosomal RNA
Source: RNAcentral
GUAGGUGGCAAGCGUUGUCCGGAAUUAUUGGGCGUAAAGCGCGCGCAGGUGGUUCUUUAAGUCUGAUGUGAAAGCCCCCGGCUCAACCGGGGAGGGUCAUUGGAAACUGGGGAACUUGAGUGCAGGAGAGGAAAGUGGAAUUCCACGUGUAGCGGUGAAAUGCGUAGAUAUGUGGAGGAACACCAGUGGCGAAGGCGACUUUCUGGCCUGUAACUGACACUGAGGCGCGAAAGCGUGGGGAGCAAACAGGGAUUAGAUACCCUGGUAGUCCACGCCGUAAACGAUGAGUGCUAAGUGUUGGGGGGGGUUUCCGCCCCCUCAGUGCUGCAGCUAACGCAUUAAGCACUCCGCCUGGGAGUACGGUCGCAAGCUG